This is a long non-coding RNA of Pseudoliparis swirei, 408 nucleotides long. RefSeq lists it as uncharacterized. The record is from RefSeq and is a predicted model, not a curated record. The transcript is spliced from 3 exons. NCBI's taxonomy places the organism in Eukaryota, Metazoa, Chordata, Actinopteri, Perciformes, Liparidae.
AGUAUAAUGAGCAUGGUUGCCCCCAGUUCCUGUGGACUGGGACCAGCACAGGACCAAGACUGCCCGACCUCCUCCAGAGCAGUGCAUCCACUGCACAGUCAUCGUAAUGGACGUGGCACUAAGGAGGAUUGUCCAGCCGCAGAUGACGCUGAAGAACCGUUAUAAGUCGCUAACACCAGUCUGCUUCAGCAGCUUGGUUGAAAUGGAGAUUGGAUGAUGCACUGUGCCCAACUAAUCAUACACGUGAUGCCUUGAGAGGUCGGGGUCAGAUUGUGAGUACUCCUCUGUUUUCCUGAUCCGAUGUGAGGUCAAAGGUCAGGGAUGUCUAUGUGUCCAGAUUGUAAUGCACUCCGAGACAAAUUUGUAAAUUGUGAAAAUGGGCUAUACAAAUAAACUGAAUUGAAUUGA